RNAcentral lists this ribosomal RNA (274 nucleotides) under uncultured bacterium. RNAcentral describes it as "partial 16S ribosomal RNA". It matches the Rfam family "Bacterial small subunit ribosomal RNA", at positions 523 to 796 of the family's 1533-position model. The record is from RNAcentral.
AUACGGAGGGUGCAAGCGUUACUCGGAAUCACUGGGCGUAAAGCGCGCGCAGGCGGCUUGAUAAGUUGGAUGUGAAAGCCUACGGCUCAACCGUAGAACUGCAUCCAAAACUGUCAAGCUAGAGUCUGGGAGGGGAAGAUGGAAUUAGUUGUGUAGGGGUAAAAUCCGUAGAGAUAACUAGGAAUACCAAAAGCGAAGGCGAUCUUCUGGAACAGUACUGACGCUGAGACGCGAAAGCGUGGGGAGCAAACAGGAUUAGAAACCCUAGUAGUCC